This 3095-nucleotide ribosomal RNA is filed under the name Desulfovibrio sp. OttesenSCG-928-A18. RNAcentral describes it as "23S ribosomal RNA". It matches the Rfam family "Bacterial large subunit ribosomal RNA". The record is from RNAcentral. Lineage: Bacteria; Pseudomonadati; Thermodesulfobacteriota; Desulfovibrionia; Desulfovibrionales; Desulfovibrionaceae.
UGACAAGUAAGAAAAGGGCAACAGGUGGAUGCCUUGGCGUCGGAAGGCGAUGAAGGACGCGGACGGCUGCGAUAAGCCUCGGGUAGGAGCCUAACAUCCUUUGAUCCGGGGAUUUCCGAAUGGGGCAACCCAGCGGGCGUAUGCCCGUUAUCCCCGACUGAAUACAUAGGUCGGGGAGGCGAACGCAGGGAAGUGAAACAUCUCAGUACCUGCAGGAAAAGAAAUCAAACGAGACUCCCAAAGUAGCGGCGAGCGAAAUGGGACGAGCCUAAACCGUGCUGUUCCGACAGCGCGGGGUUGUAGGGCCGCUAUAAUUGAUCCGUGAGUAGGCAGGGGAAGAGUCUGGGAAGGCUCGGCACAGAGGGUGAGACCCCCGUACCUGAAACCGAAAAGGGCAAGAGCGGUACCUGAGUACCGCGGGGCACGUGAAACCCCGUGGGAAUCCGGGAGGACCAUCUUCCAAGGCUAAGUACUAACCGACGACCGAUAGUGAACUAGUACCGUAAGGGAAAGGUGAAAAGUACCCCGACAAGGGGAGUUAAAAGACCUGAAACCUGUUGCCUACAAGCUGUGGGAGCCUGGUAUUCACCGAAGCUGUGAGCUUGCGUGUAUGGAUGUUUAAAAACAUCCUCGGUGCAGUGUUCAUAUUUUCGGUGAAUACCGGGUGACCGCGUGCCUUUUGCAUAAUGAGUCAGCGAGUUACUUUGUCCAGCAAGGUUAAGCGAGAAGCGGAGCCGUAGCGAAAGCGAGUCUGAACAGGGCGUUAAGUUGGGCGGAGUAGACCCGAAACCGAGUGAGCUAUCCAUGGGCAGGUUGAAGCUCAGGUAAAACUGAGUAGAGGACCGAACCGUCAACGGCUGAAAACGUUCCGGAUGACCUGUGGAUAGGGGUGAAAGGCCAAUCAAACUCGGUGAUAGCUGGUUCUCCCCGAAAUAUAUUGAGGUAUAGCCUCGUGGAUUAUCUUGCGCAGGUAAAGCACUGACAGGGCUAGGGGUCCCACCAGAUUACCAAACCCUAUCAAACUCUGAAUGGCGCAUAGAUUUACCACGGGAGUCAGACUGCGGGUGCGAAGAUUCGUAGUCGAGAGGGAAAGAGCCCAGAUCAACAGCUAAGGCCUCCAAAUUCAUGCUCAGUGUGAAAGGUGGUGGAGUUACACAGACAGCCAGGAAGUUGGCUUAGAAGCAGCCAUCUUUUAAAGAAAGCGUAAUAGCUCACUGGUCUAGUGACUCCGCGCCGAAGAUGUAACGGGGCUAAGCAUGAUGCCGAAGCUUUGGGGUGAUGUUUUAAUUUUUCCUCGGUGUUACAAAGAGUGUUGUUGUGGUCUUCGAGAUCAUGACAGACUGGCACGAAGGUUGCGACAGCAAGCUUCGUGACAACGAGGAAAUAUUACAAACAUUACCGGUAGGGGAGCGUUCUCAGUGGGAUGAAGGUGUCCCGGAAGGGGCAUUGGACUUCUGAGAAGUGAUUAUGCUGACAUAAGUAACGAUAAAACGGGUGAAAAACCCGUUCGCCGCAAACCCGAGGUUUCCUGGGUCAAGGUAAUCUUCCCAGGGUUAGUCGGCCCCUAAGGCGAGGCUGAAAAGCGUAGUCGAUGGGAAACGGAUUAAUAUUUCCGUACUUGCACAAGUAUGUCCGGAGGGACGCAGAAGGAUAGCCCGGCUUCCAGUUGGAUGGGAGUGAAAGGCGGUAGGCGGAAAAGGGUAAUCUCCUUUUCAUAACGCCGAGAGCCGAUGCGAGUCGCAAGACGAGCGGGUGAUUCCCGGCUGCCAAGAAAAGCUCCGCUUCUUAGCUUGUGUGAACCGUACCGCAAACCAACACAGGUGGGUGGGUAUAAAUGUACCAAGGCGCUCGAGAGAACUCUGGUUAAGGAACUCGGCAAAAUGACCCCGUAACUUCGGGAGAAGGGGUGCUUUUCCCGGUGACAUGAUUCACUUGUAGAGCUGGGAGAAGCCACAGUAAAAUGGCGGUGGCGACUGUUUACUAAAAACAUAGGUCUCUGCGAAGUCGUAAGACGAAGUAUAGGGACUGACGCCUGCCCGGUGCCGGAAGGUUAAGAGGAGAGGUUAGGGCAACCGACGCUUUGAAUCGAAGCCCCGGUAAACGGCGGCCGUAACUAUAACGGUCCUAAGGUAGCGAAAUUCCUUGUCGGGUAAGUUCCGACCUGCACGAAUGGCGUAACGAUCUCCGCGCUGUCUCAACCAGAGACUCGGUGAAAUUGAAAUGGCGGUGAAAAUGCCGUCUACCCGCAGCGUGACGGAAAGACCCUGUGCACCUUUACUAUAGCUUGACAUUGGGUUUUGGGCUGACAUGUGUAGGAUAGGUGGGAGGCUGUGAACUCUGUACGCCAGUAUGGAAGGAGCCAUCCUUGAAAUACCACCCUUGUCAGUUUAAGACUCUAAUCCACUCCUGUAAUCCAGGUUGGAGACAGUGUCUGGUGGGUAGUUUGACUGGGGCGGUCGCCUCCCAAAAAAUAACGGAGGCACGCAAAGGUUCCCUCAGCCUGAUUGGAAACCAGGCGCCGAGUGCAAACGCAUAAGGGAGCUUGACUGCAAGAGUGACGGCUCGAGCAGGGACGAAAGUCGGUGUUAGUGAUCCGGUGGUUCCGAAUGGAAGGGCCAUCGCUCAUUGGAUAAAAGGUACGCCGGGGAUAACAGGCUGAUCGCAUCCAAGAGUCCAUAUCGACGAUGCGGUUUGGCACCUCGAUGUCGGCUCAUCACAUCCUGGGGCUGAAGCAGGUCCCAAGGGUACGGCUGUUCGCCGUUUAAAGUGGUACGCGAGCUGGGUUUAAAACGUCGUGAGACAGUUUGGUCCCUAUCUGCUGUGGGCGUAGGAUAUUUGAGAGGGCCUGUCCCUAGUACGAGAGGACCGGGAUGGACGAACCACUGGUGGACCUGUUGUCCUGCCAAGGGCAUAGCAGGAUAGCCACGUUCGGAAGGGAUAACCGCUGAAAGCAUCUAAGCGGGAAGCCUGCCUCAAGAUAAGAUAUCCUUGCGUAAGUGUGAGGCCCCUUGUAGACCACAAGGUUGAUAGGCCGGAGGUGUAAGUGCGGCGACGCAUUCAGCUUACCGGUACUAACAGGCCGAAAACUUGAUUCU